Molecule: long non-coding RNA, 1750 nt
Filed under: Pelobates cultripes (western spadefoot toad)
Lineage: Eukaryota; Metazoa; Chordata; Amphibia; Anura; Pelobatidae
Source: RNAcentral
CGCAGAAAUGUGCACAGUUAAGGUUGCAUAUCAAUGUAAACAGACAGGCCUUAUUACUUUUAAUAAUGAUUAUAUAACUGGUAUCAUUAAUUGGAGAAGGGGACAAAUGUUAGUCAUUAUGAACGACACUGCAAUUGAGAACUAUACACUACCUUAUAUUUUUACACCUUAUUACUGUCCUUCAUCCACUAUCAUAGAACCAAAAGUCAAACACGACACACACACACCUAUUCCGUCCACAUGUGUUAAUACAACUGCCUUCUUACAAGCUGUACAUGUGUCAUUAAAAGUCACUACUCCUGUUGUAACAUUAUGUAAUACAACAAACAAAGGCAGAAAAGGGAAUGGUAUGACACACUGUUAGGAGGUGCUGGAACCACUAUGGGUAUACUAAAUAGUUAUAGAUAUGGAGACCCUCAAGAAUAAGUUAAACACAGCCAGCAUGCAUAUAGGGACUGGUUUUCAUGCUACUGCAAAUUGGGCUCCAAUUGUUGUUAAAUCACAGGUUAUAGGAUUGGAUUUAGAUAAAUCAAUGUAUAAUUAUUUAGAUAAUUUAACUGUUGCAACUAUGAAAUUCACUACAGAUCUAAGUAACUGGAGUACUUGUGCCAUCAGGUAUUUAUGGAUACAACAACAAGGAUUGGCAUUAGAAAACACACUAAUGAUUCCUCAACUAGAGAAGAUUAGAGGGAUGCUUAACCUCACAGAUAAUGAAUGGUUACUUCUAAAACCCCAAUCCACUAAAUGCAAUGAAUGGUUAACUGGUAAUGUUUCACAUUUUUCAUGCUCUUGCUAUUUUACAUUAUAUCAUACAUCAUCAAAGGAUGUUAAAUUAGCUUGUCAAUUUAACACAUUACCAGUACCAGUUUAUGAUCUUUUUGCCAAGAAUUUAACCUGGUGGGCACCCACAUACACAGGGGACUAUAUGUUUUCCCAAAGAUAACACACACAGGUAGCCACACAUAUCCUAAAAGGAGAACUCCUUAAGGUGAGUUCACAAAUUCAGAAUGAUUUAGCCCAUCAUUGGUACAAUGCUUUACUGGUUGGUCCCCUACUGGAUCUCAGAUAAUGAAAUCAUUCUUCUAUCAUUUUGUUAUUAUAGUCCUGAUUUUAUUGUGUAUGAUUUUAUAUAACUGUCACCUUAGUUGUACAUUGAGGAAGAGAGUACAGAAAUGAAUCCAUAAUGCAGAACAGAAACAAUUAGAAAUUCUCCUCUCUGCCACUGUAGAGUAUCAACCCAUCUUUAAACUGGGCCUUAGGAAUUACCACAUGGGAAUCGAGGUGAAGAAAUUAAUGAAAGUCCCGCAGGGAGUGACUAGCACCCCUGAAAAUACCAUGUGGAAGUUUCUCUGUCCUGGUAAGAUUUUAUCGAUAAGAUGAGCAAUUGUUUUAUUGCUCAAAGAGGGGAAUGUAAGAAUAUUAAAUAGUUAACUUGUUUAUAUGUAUUUUAUGCUUUUAUAAGGUUUAUAACAUGAUUAUUGCUGACUGAAGGGAUAUUGAAUACUUAAAGUCAAUAUGCUGACUGUGACAGACUAAGGUAUUUCUUCUAUAGGAUGUAAGACAAUGCUAAAUUUCAGGAUGUCUUGCCCAUUCCGAUUUUAAGGAUAUUCUUUUCCAGACGUAUGCAAAAGCUUAUCUUUCCAUUGUCAGAAUAACGUAAUAUAAGGAAGUAAUAAAUCUUAUAGUCUGUACUGUAUUUGCAUAUACCAUGGCUAAUGUAAGCAAACUAUGUAUAAAAGCCAGCUCUGGA